AAAUAAGAAGCAAUAUCCAUGCAUUUAAUUUCGACUUAAAAGAUAGAGUAAAUACUCCUUAUUUA
RNAcentral lists this transfer RNA (65 nucleotides) under Pieris brassicae (large cabbage white). RNAcentral's name for it is "tRNA-Arg". Lineage: Eukaryota; Metazoa; Arthropoda; Insecta; Lepidoptera; Pieridae. The record is from RNAcentral.